RNAcentral lists this long non-coding RNA (2231 nucleotides) under Sorghum bicolor (sorghum). RNAcentral describes it as "long non-coding RNA (SBIC_LNC013387)". The record is from RNAcentral. Lineage: Eukaryota; Viridiplantae; Streptophyta; Magnoliopsida; Poales; Poaceae.
GCCUUUAGAAAGGAUCGUAGUUUCUCAAACUGGUCCAGUGGUCGUCAUGAAAAGGAUACAAUUAUAGUCGUGUCCUUAGUCAAAUUAUUGUCUAAAGUUUGAUCGAGCUUAUAGAAAACGGUGCUAACAUUUAUAGCACAAACAUGCUUCAUAAGGAACCUGAUGGCACUUGUUUGUAAAUAUUGUUAUUUUUUUUAUAAAUUUGAUCAAUUUCAAAACGGUGUAUCUCGAUACUAUGCUAGAAUUGUAUUCUUUGCAUGAUGGAUGGAGUAGUUUAGAAGUUGGUCUGUAUAUCGGAUAAAUAACAUCAACAAGUUAAAAAAAUAGAAGCAUUGGUUACACAAGAGUUGCAGUUGCACUUUGUUGCUAGCUUGUUUUCCAUUUUACAAAAGACAAGAAAAAGACCUCAAUAAGGAAAAAAGAAAUUUAUGAUUAAAUUGACAAAGUUUUAUUCUAUUGUCGCGCAAACAUCACACCCACAACCACAUUAUGUUGUUUCUAUCACCAUUAGUCCUACCACCAGUGGGAUAGAGCCAAACAAGAUCUUAAUGAGAACUUCAAUCACAUGAAGGCUUUUGACGACCACAUCACCACACCCAUACAAAGGACAAAUCCGUAGAAACACUUGAAAACAUCAAAGGUGGUGUGCCAUUCUGUUUCAUAAUCCAUUGACACAACCACCUCCCUUAUGAAGAAGACAUAUUACCGUAAUUCUUGGAUUGGACGAACCAUAGACCCUUCGCUAGUGCUAGAAGGAACACCAGACAAAGAGAGAAACCAAGGUCACUAUUCGGAGGGCGCUCAUACCUCCCUGUAAAUGCACAAACCCCAUCGAGAAUAUUGAAACUAAAAACUAACAAAUCCACUGAAGGAAGGAUUCCCACUUCUUCUCCUUACCAACAAUUCAAUGGAGAGAAAGAGGGAGUAAGUUCUCAAACUAUAAUUCGUUUUUCCUCCAUACCAUCAAUUCAGUGGAGAGAGAAAGAGAGAGGGGAUGAGUUCUCAUACUAAUUGAUUUACUAGCUAGUUGCUUAUUUGAGUUUCUCCUAUGAGAACUUGUUUUGAUCAAUUUAAUUGGGACUAUAUAUACAAUACAUUUAUCUUAUUGAAGUUAGAUACUUCUAGGAGCAUAAUCAUUACACUUUUAAGAGAUUUCAGCAAAAUAGUCAUGUAUGAUCGAGAACUUAGAACACUGUUCUAGAUAUGUGCACUAUAUCUAGAUAAGUAAAAACUAUAAAUCUAGAAAAACUAAAACAACUUAUAAUUUGGAAAAGAGAAAUACCAAAAAAAUUGUGGAUACAAAAUAUUUUGUAGUAUAUUCUCCUGAAAACAGAAAAAAAAUGUUUCACAAGAGAAUCACAAUUAAGUUUUCUCCAAGAAUGUUUCUUCGAGAAAGCGAAACCCCUACCAAAUGGACUUAUUACACUCAUUGUACUAUUAUUAAAUCAAGACCAUGUUCGGAACAAGUUAAAACAUGCACAGAGUGAAACAUUCUUCCUUGGUGUAUCAUCUAUAUAUUAUAUCGAAUAUUUAGACACAUACAUGUAUGAAUCUUGGAUGUUUGAGGCUUCAAUUCGUCAGAGUUGAGACCAAUCUACACACGGUACGGAGCACGUCCGUGGUUAUAUUCUGUUUGAAGUCUCUGAACCAAACGUCUCCAUUUUAUUAGGCACAAUCACGAUGGGCCACAGUUUGUUUUUAGAGAUGACUGAUCACACUAGAGAGAUGAACCCUCCAGAUCAGUUCGCAACCCAUCAACGCGUCGUGGAUACAAUAGAAUGCACUCCGAGUAGAUAUGAAUAUGAUACGAUGUGCAUGCAUGCAUCGGUGAUAAGUACUAAUUAUAACGCAGACGCCUCACGCCCCAGCCCAAAUUAAACAAAAAAAAAAGAAAAAAAAUAAUCAACCAAUCAGCACGCGGCGCCGAGCUCGGUCAAUAGGUCAGCGCACUUUUCAGGACAUGCAGGUGCUCUUUUAUAAAGAACAAGAUGAGGAAUUGAUGCGUGCAUUAGUUUAGCUAGUCUGAUUCAAAGCGUGUUCAUAUCGGUUAAGGCACUCUCUUCCUUGUUUAAUUGUGAGUAUUAUACUUAUACCCGCUCAUGCGUACAUUCAUUGAGGGAAGGGUGUUUUUGAUGUCUUGUCUCUGUCGCAGCAUUUUUGGCCAGCGGAUGCAAUAUACUCCCUCCGUCCACGAAAAAGUCAAUUUCUAGAGUUGUCCUAAGUCAAAUUUU